RNAcentral lists this ribosomal RNA (256 nucleotides) under uncultured bacterium. Its description in RNAcentral is "partial 16S ribosomal RNA". It matches the Rfam family "Bacterial small subunit ribosomal RNA", at positions 527 to 779 of the family's 1533-position model. The record is from RNAcentral.
CGGAGGGGCUAGCGUUGUUCGGAAUUACUGGGGCGUAAAGCGCACGUAGGCGGACCAGAAAGUUGGGGGUGAAAUCCCGGGGGCUCAACCUCGGAACUGCCUUCAAAACUAUUGGUCUUGAGUUCGAGAGAGGUGAGUGGAAUUCCGAGUGUAGAGGUGAAAUUCGUAGAUAUUCGGAGGAACACCAGUGGCGAAGGCGGCUCACUGGCUCGAUACUGACGCUGAGGUGCGAAAGCGUGGGGGAGCAAACAGGAUU